CCCUUAGAUGUUCUGGGCUGCACGCGCGCUACACUGACGGAUUCAACGAGCUUACAACCUUGGCCGAAAGGUCUGGGUAAUCUCCAAAAUCCGUCGUGAUGGGGAUAGAUUAUUGCAAUUAUUAAUCUUCAACGAGGAAUGCCUAGUAAGCGCAAGUCAUCAGCUUGCGUUGAUUACGUCCCUGCCCUUUGUACACACCGCCCGUCGCUCCUACCGAUUGAAUGGUCCGGUGAAGCGUUUGGACUAUGGUUUUCUGAUGGUCCGCCGUUGGAUUACCGUGGGAAGUUCGUUAAACCUUAUCAUUUAGAGGAAGGAGAAGUCGUAACA
This 327-nucleotide ribosomal RNA is filed under the name uncultured eukaryote. Its description in RNAcentral is "partial 18S ribosomal RNA". It matches the Rfam family "Eukaryotic small subunit ribosomal RNA", at positions 1470 to 1796 of the family's 1831-position model. The record is from RNAcentral.